UGGACUUUGGCUUCUGCCCUCCUUUGGCAGUUUUACAGGCUGCGUCGCGGAGGACAAUGAAAGAGGCUUUAAGGGGACUGGACAGGAAGGAUUUUGCGCAGGGUGUGCUCCUCUAUCUUUAUGGAAGAGGGGAUACAGACACAGACAUGUGUGCACACAGAAUGAAGACCAUAAAAACAGAGACAAGACAGCCAUCUACAAGUUAAGUAGAGAGGCCUCUGAAGAAGCAAUCCCGCCAACACCUUGAUCUUGGACUUCAAGCCUCUAGAACUGUGAGAAAAUAAAUUUCUGUUUGUUGAAGCCUC
Long non-coding RNA from Gorilla gorilla gorilla (western lowland gorilla), 305 nucleotides. RefSeq lists it as uncharacterized. The transcript has 2 exons. The record is from RefSeq and is a predicted model, not a curated record. NCBI's taxonomy places the organism in Eukaryota, Metazoa, Chordata, Mammalia, Primates, Hominidae.